AGUGAACGCUGGCGGUAGGCCUAACACAUGCAAGUCGAACGGCAGCACAGUAAGAGCUUGCUCUUACGGGUGGCGAGUGGCGGGCGGGUGAGGAAUACAUCGGAAUCUACUUUUUCGUGGGGGAUAACGUAGGGAAACUUACGCUAAUACCGCAUACGACCUACGGGUGAAAGCAGGGGAUCUUCGGACCUUGCGCGAUUGAAUGAGCCGAUGUCGGAUUAGCUAGUUGGCGGGGUAAAGGCCCACCAAGGCGACGAUCCGUAGCUGGUCUGAGAGGAUGAUCAGCCACACUGGAACUGAGACACGGUCCAGACUCCUACGGGAGGCAGCAGUGGGGAAUAUUGGACAAUGGGCGCAAGCCUGAUCCAGCCAUACCGCGUGUGUGAAGAAGGCCUUCGGGUUGUAAAGCCCUUUUGUUGGGAAAGAAAAGCAGUAGGUUAAUACCUCGCUGUUCUGACGGUACCCAAAGAAUAAGCACCGGCUAACUUCGUG
RNAcentral lists this ribosomal RNA (492 nucleotides) under uncultured bacterium. RNAcentral's name for it is "partial 16S ribosomal RNA". It matches the Rfam family "Bacterial small subunit ribosomal RNA", at positions 29 to 507 of the family's 1533-position model. The record is from RNAcentral.